UUGAAGGCGUCAAAGACAAAUUGUUUACUGCAAAAAAUUUUACUUAAUAUAAAGCUCAAAAAUACAGCUGUACCUUCACAUAAUCCUUACACAAAUACAAACACACACAAAUACACACACACACUCAACACUCCCAUGCAUGCACACACACGCCAGCCGAGAUAUAACAAAUGAGUAUCGUUCAGUAACCAGUACAGUGCCUGACGACGAGAACAGUUCUUCGUCUGCUAACGUUAAAGGAUCUGUCUGUCACAUUUUUCGUCGUGCUAAUGGCAGCAUUUGUCAUUUCUUUCAUCUUUGAAUCCAAAGCUCUAAAUGAUGAAAAAUUGGCGUCGUUCUUUGUCAGGAUGUUCAAAUGAAACCUCAUAUAUAAGAUCGUCUUUGAAAUGUCUGAAUAACCCGCAGUAACAAUGUUACAUAAACUGUUCACUGGGUAUGACAGUUAUGGCUUGCCACCUCUCCUAUAGCUUCCAAAAACAAAUCUUGUUAACCAAUAGUCCUGAAAGCAAGAAAUCUUGUGUCGCAUUAAUCGCUACAAGUUGCUUCGCUGCGACAGCCCCGUCCAUGCUUUCGAAAAACGCCUAUGCCAAUUACUGACAUAUUAAUGAACCCUAAAACCGAAUCAAUCAAACGCUGAAAACCAAACAAAGACCAAACAUUGUAGUUAAAAUCCCUUCGGCAAAAUAAACUAAUGCCCGAUCGAAAAAACCUACUUCAUCAUAAUUAAAAAGGAACAAUACUAAUUAUUUGUUAACAAUACACCUAAUUAAAACAGACAUUCCUCGUGGGGUGAUCAUGUUCUAAGUCGGAUAGACAAUGAUCACUACUUGUGUUCAGUGGGAUUGUAGACUCUCUCGAAUUAGUUAGACUGCCACUCGGGUCUUCGGCCCUCGUGGCCGUCUAACUAAUUCUCGGGAGUCUAUAUCCCACUGAACACACG
Paramuricea clavata is the source of this 940-nucleotide non-coding RNA. The record is from the annotation of a GenBank genome assembly. NCBI's taxonomy places the organism in Eukaryota, Metazoa, Cnidaria, Anthozoa, Malacalcyonacea, Plexauridae.